Octopus bimaculoides (California two-spot octopus) is the source of this 1513-nucleotide long non-coding RNA. NCBI's taxonomy places the organism in Eukaryota, Metazoa, Mollusca, Cephalopoda, Octopoda, Octopodidae. The record is from RefSeq and is a predicted model, not a curated record.
UUUCUGUUACUAUAAUUUACAGAAUGUAUGGUGUAUGGUAAUGAAACACGGAUAGUAAAUGUCAAGGACUGUAUGGUGUAUUUAUAAAUGAAUAUAAAAGACCAAUACCAAAUAGCUAACAAGCACCAACCCACAGAUGAAAACAAAUCAAGAGCAUGUCCAUUAAGUAGUAAUGUCAAAGACAGUGGAACUACUAGAGGAAUGCAUUGCACAGAACAUUCAAAGCUAGGGUAAAGCUGUCCAUCCUCUAUCUUGGGUUUCAUAGUCUUGCAAGCUGCAUGGUAACCAUACUAGUGACUGUGUCAUGAAAAAAGUAUCCAGUACACAUGAAUUAUAUAAUCAAUUUCCUAGCUUACAGCUGUUUCUGCAUCGUGAAAAAGUAUCCAGUACACAUUGUAAAAUAGUUGGCAUUAGGGAGGACAUCUGGCCAUAGAAACCAUGCCAAAGUAAACACUGGAGCCCAAUGCAGUUCUUGAACUAUUGGAUCCUGUCAAGCUAGUACAAUAAUAAAUAUUAAAUGAUAAUGAUGAUGAUGAUGAUGAUGAGAUGUUGAUGACAAUGAUGAUGAUAUUGCAUUUCAUUUUUCCUGCCAAGGUAAACUUCCAUCCUUUCAGGAUCAGUAAAGUACCAGUGAAGUAUUGGGGUUUAUAGUAUUGACUAACUCCUUACCUCAAAAUUGCUGGCCUGGUGCCUAAAUUGGAAACAAUUAUUACUCGUAUUAUUUGCUUAGUCUAUGAGCAUUUCUGGCUUGUGGAAUCAUGUCAGACAUUAUUUGGCAAGUGUAGAAGAUUGCAUCUCUGCUUUCCUUUCGCUAGGAUGGGCAAUGCUCUUUCCUUGUUGAUGGCUGUGGCAAUAAAGAUUGUUUGGUGGACAAGAUAGAAUAAAGUGAAUACAGACACUUAUAUUCUCUAGCCAAAUUCUCAUCUUUAGGUUACACCUUGAGAGCAAAGAUGAGAAUAGAGUGUCAUGUGAUCCCUGCUGAAAGGUAGGUAAGAACAAUUUACAUGAAUGAAUCUAUUCUCAGCAUGUCCUUGUAGUCUGGCAAACACAGUUGAGAGAGGACAUUUGCUUUCAAUAAUCACUUACUCCUAGGUCUGUGAGGUUCUGUGAUCGUAUCUAGACAGCUGUUCUCAUAUUGGGACAUCAUGAAAUGGUUUUGUAAUUUGUUCUUCAUUCAUUACUCUUACAACAAAUGUAUUAUGAUUAGGUGUUUGUGUGGUUGAACAGUAUGCUGCUAAAUCACUUGAUUUCAAGUUCAACUCCACUACAUGGCACAUUAGGAAAAUGUUUUCUACUACAAACUUUAUUUGAUAAUUCAUCAUUUUUCUCCUUAAGUCUUUUAUUUUGGUGAAUUGUUGUUUCUAUCAACUGGCCACUGUUUGAAAUAAUAAUUGAUAGAAAAAUUUACACAGUAAUUCUGUGACCUGAUCACUGACAGUGGAAUUGUGUGAAAGACCAAGGUACAGAAAUACUGGGACUAUCAUGAAGAAUAUAAAUAAAUGAGAAAUAAAUA